Molecule: ribosomal RNA, 87 nt
Filed under: Bifidobacterium longum subsp. longum
Lineage: Bacteria; Bacillati; Actinomycetota; Actinomycetes; Bifidobacteriales; Bifidobacteriaceae
Source: RNAcentral
GUCCCAUUCCGAACCCGGAAGCUAAGGCCUGGCACGGCGAUGGUACUGCACCCGACAGGGUGUGGGAGAGUAGCACGCCGCCGCAUC